GCUUGACAUAUACGNGAACGGGCGAGAGANCGUCAACUCUUUGGACACUCGUAAACAGGUGGUGCAUGGUUGUCGUCAGCUCGUGUCGUGAGAUGUUCGGUUAAGUCCGGCAACGAGCGCAACCCUCGUCCUAUGUUGCCAGCACGUAAUGGUGGGAACUCAUGGGAUACUGCCGUGGUCAACACGGAGGAAGGUGGGGAUGACGUCAAAUCAUCAUGCCCCUUAUGUCUUGGGCUUCACGCAUGCUACAAUGGCCGAUACAAAGGGCUGCGAUACCGCGAGGUGGAGCGAAUCCCAAAAAGUCGGUCUCAGUUCGGAUUGGGGUCUGCAACUCGACCCCAUGAAGUCGGAGUCGCUAGUAAUCGCAGAUCAGCAACGCUACGGUGAAUACGUUCCCGGGA
This 401-nucleotide ribosomal RNA is filed under the name Leucobacter sp. AZTITEMP100. Its description in RNAcentral is "bacterial SSU rRNA". It matches the Rfam family "Bacterial small subunit ribosomal RNA", at positions 979 to 1378 of the family's 1533-position model. The record is from RNAcentral. Lineage: Bacteria; Bacillati; Actinomycetota; Actinomycetes; Micrococcales; Microbacteriaceae.